UAGGGAAUAUUGGACAAUGGGGGCAACCCUGAUCCAGCCAUGCCGCGUGAGUGAAGAAGGCCCUCGGGUUGUAAAGCUCUUUUGUCCGGAAAGAAAAGCAUUCGGUGAAUACCCGGAUGUUCUGACGGUACCGGAAGAAUAAGCACCGGCUAACUUCGUGCCAGCAGCCGCGGUAAUACGAAGGGUGCAAGCGUUACUCGGAAUUACUGGGCGUAAAGCGUGCGUAGGUGGUUGUUUAAGUCUGAUGUGAAAGCCCUGGGCUCAACCUGGGAAUGGCAUUGGAAACUGGGCCGCGAGAGUGCGGUUGAGGGUAGUGGAAUUCCCGGUGUAGCAGGGAAAUGCGUAGAGAUCGGGAGGAACAUCUGUGGCGAAGGCGACUGCCUGGACCAGCACUGACACUGAGGCACGAAAGCGUGGGGAGCAAACA
This 427-nucleotide ribosomal RNA is filed under the name uncultured bacterium. Its description in RNAcentral is "bacterial SSU rRNA". It matches the Rfam family "Bacterial small subunit ribosomal RNA", at positions 355 to 774 of the family's 1533-position model. The record is from RNAcentral.